CUUAGAUCGUACCUACUACAUGGAUAACUGUAGUAAUUCUAGAGCUAAUACAUGCCACUAUGCCCUGACCCGCAAGGGAACGGGUGGAUUUAUUAGAACAGAACCAACCGGUCGUGGCUCCGGCUACUUCCGUUGCACUCUGUGAUGACUCUGGAUAACUUCACUGAUCGCAGUCGGCCUUGUGUCGGCGACGGAUCUUUCAAAUGUCUGCCCUAUCAAUUUUCGAUGGUAGGUGAUCUGCCUACCAUGGUGAUAACGGGUAACGGGGAAUCAGGGUUCGAUUCCGGAGAGGGAGCCUGAGAAACGGCUACCACUUCCAAGGAAGGCAGCAGGCACGCAAAUUACCCAAUCCCGGCACGGGGAGGUAGUGACGAAAAAUACGGAUACGGGACUCGAGAGAGGCUCCGUAAUUCGAAUGAGUACAAUUUAAAUCCUUUAACGAGGAUCAACUGGAGGGCAAGUCUGGUGCCAGCAGCCGCGGUAACUCCAGCUCCAGAAGCGUAUAUUAAAGUUGUUGCAGUUAAAAAGCUCGUAGUUGGAUCUGGGUCGUAUGGCUACGUGCCGUCGCUCGUAUUCUUUAUCCGGUCACGACUGGGUUUAGUUUGUGAGUCGGUUCCGUGGCUGUGCAGCCUUUCUGCCGUGUCUGUUUCGACAGGUGCUGGCUAAAUCGGUGGGCUUGUCCCGGUCGGUUGGUUGGCAUGCUUCCAGAUGCCUUUAAACGGGUGUCGGGGGCGGACG
This 738-nucleotide ribosomal RNA is filed under the name Trematoda environmental sample. Its description in RNAcentral is "SSU rRNA". It matches the Rfam family "Eukaryotic small subunit ribosomal RNA", at positions 119 to 754 of the family's 1831-position model. The record is from RNAcentral. Lineage: Eukaryota; Metazoa; Platyhelminthes; Trematoda.